RNAcentral lists this ribosomal RNA (301 nucleotides) under uncultured bacterium. Its description in RNAcentral is "partial 16S ribosomal RNA". It matches the Rfam family "Bacterial small subunit ribosomal RNA", at positions 509 to 807 of the family's 1533-position model. The record is from RNAcentral.
CAGCAGCCGCGGUAACACGAGGGGGGCAAGCGUUGUUCGGAUUUAUUGGGCGUAAGGGGUGCGUAGACGGUGUGAUAAGUCUGUUGUUAAAUUCCUCGGCUCAACCGAGGACCUGCAAUGGAAACUAUCUCGCUAGAGGAUGGAAGAGAGAAGUGGAAUUCUUGGAGUAGCGGUAAAAUGCGUAGAUCUCAAGAGGAACACCAAUGGCGAAGGCAGCUUCUUGGUCCACUCCUGACGUUGAGGCACGAAAGCGUGGGGAGCAAACAGGAUUAGAUACCCCGGUAGUCCCUGUCUCUUAUAC